This 492-nucleotide ribosomal RNA is filed under the name uncultured bacterium. RNAcentral describes it as "partial 16S ribosomal RNA". It matches the Rfam family "Bacterial small subunit ribosomal RNA", at positions 29 to 507 of the family's 1533-position model. The record is from RNAcentral.
AGUGAACGCUGGCGGUAGGCCUAACACAUGCAAGUCGAACGGCAGCACCGUAAGAGCUUGCUCUUACGGGUGGCGCGUGGCGGACGGGUGAGGAAUACAUCGGAAUCUACUUUUUCGUGGGGGCUAACGUCGGGAAACUUACGCUAAUACCGCAUACGACCUACGGGUGAAAGCAGGGGAUCUUCGGGCCUUGCGCGAUUGAAUGAGCCGAUGUCGGAUUAGCUAGUUGGCGGGGUAAAGGCCCAGCAAGGCGACGAUCCGUAGCUGGUCUGAGAGGAUGAUCAGCCACACGGGAACUGAGACACGGUCCAGACUCCUGCGGGAGGCAGCAGUGGGGAAUAUUGGACAAUGGGCGCAAGCCUGAUCCAGCCAUACCGCGUGGGUGAAGAAGGCCUUCGGGUUGUAAAGCCCUUUUGUUGGGAAAGAAAAGCAGCAGGUUAAUACCCCGCUGUUCUGACGGUACCCAAAGAAUAAGCACCGGCUAACUUCGUG